This is a long non-coding RNA of Nematolebias whitei (Rio pearlfish), 483 nucleotides long. RefSeq lists it as uncharacterized. NCBI's taxonomy places the organism in Eukaryota, Metazoa, Chordata, Actinopteri, Cyprinodontiformes, Rivulidae. The record is from RefSeq and is a predicted model, not a curated record. The transcript has 3 exons.
GUGUGAUGCUGGCUGUGAACCCAAACAGAGGAUGUGAGAAAACCCACAGAAGUGAAGAGGAGGAAUCGCGUGCACACAUCUCCAGAGCCAGGACUCUCAUAGGAGUGCGGCAAUUUGGACUUUCCACCGUCAGCAACUCUCCUCGUUCCAUCCUUGCUCCUUCCUCUUCAGACCAGGACCCUCCCCCUCCACACGCACACAUACACAUACACACACGCACAGAGGCUCGUGUUGUGUAGUGAGGAGGUUGAAUUAGGAUCUCAGGGUGCAUUGGAGGUGAAUCCUGGACCUGGAGAUGGAUUAAAGGGACCCCACGUCGCCAAACUGGAGCAACACGCACGACCACGCCGGGGGGGAAGGGGGCGACGAGACUCGAUGAUUUUGCGGAGCCCCCGGGAGAGAGGUUGUGACUGGUCCAACCCCAAGACGACGUCUCCUAAAACCAAAGCCAAGAAGAAGCAAACUAAAGAGAGCAUGACUCUG